Molecule: ribosomal RNA, 763 nt
Filed under: uncultured Streptococcus sp.
Lineage: Bacteria; Bacillati; Bacillota; Bacilli; Lactobacillales; Streptococcaceae
Description: bacterial SSU rRNA
Rfam family: Bacterial small subunit ribosomal RNA
Source: RNAcentral
GACGAACGCUGGCGGCGUGCCUAAUACAUGCAAGUAGAACGCUGAAGGAGGAGCUUGCUUCUCCGGAUGAGUUGCGAACGGGUGAGUAACGCGUAGGUAACCUGCCUGGUAGCGGGGGAUAACUAUUGGAAACGAUAGCUAAUACCGCAUAAGAGUAGAUGUUGCAUGACAUUUGCUUAAAAGGUGCAAUUGCAUCACUACCAGAUGGACCUGCGUUGUAUUAGCUAGUUGGUGGGGUAACGGCUCACCAAGGCGACGAUACAUAGCCGACCUGAGAGGGUGAUCGGCCACACUGGGACUGAGACACGGCCCAGACUCCUACGGGAGGCAGCAGUAGGGAAUCUUCGGCAAUGGACGGAAGUCUGACCGAGCAACGCCGCGUGAGUGAAGAAGGUUUUCGGAUCGUAAAGCUCUGUUGUAAAAGAAGAACGAGUGUGAGAGUGGAAAGUUCACACUGUGACGGUAUCUUACCAGAAAGGGACGGCUAACUACGUGCCAGCAGCCGCGGUAAUACGUAGGUCCCGAGCGUUGUCCGGAUUUAUUGGGCGUAAAGCGAGCGCAGGCGGUUAGAUAAGUCUGAAGUUAAAGGCUGUGGCUUAACCAUAGUACGCUUUGGAAACUGUUUAACUUGAGUGCAAGAGGGGAGAGUGGAAUUCCAUGUGUAGCGGUGAAAUGCGUAGAUAUAUGGAGGAACACCGGUGGCGAAAGCGGCUCUCUGGCUUGUAACUGACGCUGAGGCUCGAAAGCGUGGGGAGCAAACAGG